Molecule: long non-coding RNA, 3016 nt
Organism: Sorex araneus (European shrew)
Lineage: Eukaryota; Metazoa; Chordata; Mammalia; Eulipotyphla; Soricidae
Exons: 2
Source: RefSeq, a predicted model, not a curated record
CUCAGGCCUGAUGGGGGGUUCGAUAAGGGGGAGUGGGGGGCUUGGGGGAGGAAGGGUAGGAGAGAGACUGGACCUGGGGCCUUGUCUGGGUAAAGCUGCGGGGACUUGCCCGCAGGAACCUGGGAGGCGCGUGGCCUGUUGCCCCGCUGAAGAUGGGGCUCUUGGCUUCUGGGAGGGCGUCGCCCCGACGUGAACCCGCCGAACCCCCAGCGCCCAGGCGUGUGUGGACGCAGCAAGGCAGGGAGAACCCGAGGUUCUCUGCACCCCAGAUGGAGACGAGACAGCUUGGCGGUUGAUCCCCUGCAGUGGGGUGUAGGGCCGGGCUUGGGGGGGCGCAGACUUUAGCCUUGGGGAGACCAGCAGCCCCCCUUUUUUUGCAGACCGAGGGUCGUGAGCUCGCCUGGCGACGCGGCCUGGGAACAGCUUGGUCUCGCGGGCUGAGUGCUCUGGCCCCGGGUGGUAUGUAAGGUGGCAGUGCUCCCCCCCUCUUGGGAUGCUCUGGGUGCCUGUUUAGCCUCUCCUGUGACCCCUUCUGCCCCUCCUCGCUCUAACCCUUCACUUUAACCUUGCUCUGGGCACUGGUAAGCUGGGGAAGCCGCCCAGGACGCUGUUGGAGUCGGCACUGUUGGUAACGGUGAAGGCGAGCUGAGACUGGCACGGGGAGCCAGGGGGGUGGGGGGCGCUUCCCCGACGAGCGGGUGGGCCGCCGCAGGUGGUGGCCCCAGAAGUGCCCAACAUGCUUCAUGGACGUGGUUUGUUACCAUAGUGCUCAUCCCAGCGACCCGAUGGCACCAGGAGACAGUGGAGCCCCUGGCAGUGUGAGUCGUAGCGGUGCAGGAGGGGAGUCCCAGGAGCAGAGCCCGGCCUAAGUUGCUGCCUGCACGUUGCAACCCAGAGCUUAGGAGGAAGUUCUCCACGGUCCGGUUUCCAGGCCUGGCUGUUCUCAGGAGGUCGCCACUGAAAGCUUGCAGAGGGGCUCUGAGGGGCAGCCGUGGAAGGCCGCUGCUGCAGAUGUGUUGGAUGAUCCAGGAGCACCACCCUCUGGGCGUCUGAUGCCAGCAGCGCCCCCUCCUCCCGUUCUGGGGUGGAGGUUUUCAGAUGCUGCGUCUUCUAAGUUGAGCCUCCUGUCCUAGUUCUGUGCUACCAACAGCUUCCAGAAGAGUCUGAAGCUGUAGGACAUUUAACCUUGAUGACAGCACCCCCGAGCUGCCUGCCUGGUAGACUGAGAUUGCGGUGGAGCCCAGUGAUCCUUUCUCAUCCCCGGCGCCCGCAGAGGAACGAUUAGUGUCGCCCUACAGUCGAUGUGAUGGGACAGGGACGGGGUUCGGGGUGCUGAGGCAGAGGCUUAGAUGAUUGGCAAAUAUGGGCAGGUAGUGUUGCUAAGAAGUCGGUGCACAAAUUUUUAGCAAUGGUAGGUCAGGGCUGGAAGAUGGGCUUGAAGGGUAGAGUUUAUUCUGUGUUGGGAGGCCAGGGGUUGAUCCCAGGCACCACCGGGUUCACCCCGGCAAUGCUGGGUGUGGCUCUAAAACAGCUGCCGCCAAAAACUACAGGAAGAAGUGGCAGGUCCCGGGGCGCUCCCGGCCCUCUAAGGGUCACUGUAGGGCGAAUGCUCCGGCUGUCACUGGGCUUUGAUUCACCUCGAGCUUUUUGAAGCCUGAAUUUUACUUGGUUAGAUCUCAGCCAUCAUUGUCUGAAGGGGAAGAUGGGUGGUGAGGGUUACAUAGGGUGGGAGAGGGAACAGCUUGGUACUGGGGGGGCUUGGGGUGAAGAGUCAUGGCGGAGGAUGGGGUGGUCGGGAAGGUGGCUUGACAGGAAUUGGGAGGAGUGGUCGGUAAGGCAAACGAUCUCAUGGGCAAGAGAGAAGUUGAUACUGGUCAUUAAUAGUCAAAUUCCAGCAUGGAAUCACGAAGCUUAAUCAGAAGCUAAGUGCUUAGAGCCCUGUUAAAUGCAGGGCGGAAAGCAAAAUUGUUUUGCUGCAAGGUGGAGAAUAGGUGUAACUGGCAACCUGCGUCAGUCCCUUGAAGAGGGUGCCAGACUCACACCCCAGUGAGUGCCAUUCGCUGGACUGAACCCACUUGCUUCAUCUAAAGUUGCAAGGGGUCAGGCUGCGCCCAAAUUGUGUGCUCUGAAAGUAUGUAGUUUGCAGCCUUGGGGUGCUCUUUAGAUGAGGUGCGCUCGUUGAGCUUUUGACUCAUCUUUAUUGGCGGAUAUUGUGACUUAAGAUUCUAAGCCAUGUAUAUGACUAACAAGUAAUUUCAUGUUAUGAGUUGGGUCUUAAAAACAUACCUGGGCUUUGGUCAACAUGGAUUACAGCAAAGUUUUUGUUUAUUGCUGAUAGUCAUUGUAACAAGGAGCAGCAAAUAAGAUUUUAUCGCCACUAUAAAAUGACUAAUUUGGUAGCAAGCAGUCGAUACUCUCUUGCGAAGACUAGCUAUUUCUUUAGCUCAAACAUGCUUUAAAUGUUUCAAUAUUAGAGAACAGCUAUCAGCCAAAAUCAGUUUGGGGAAUAAGCAAACAGGGUGGGGGGUGCCUUUUCUAAAUGUUCUGUUUGUAAAACUUUGGGAAAUCUAAAACUGCCUAAUAAGAGUACUUGUUUCGAAAAUCUGAAAAUGUUUAAUGGGAGUACUUGUUUCUGAGGAGUCUAAUGAAUUAGUACAAUAAUAUCACUAUCGUGUCACUAAUAAGCUGGAAUUGUACUUAAAAUUUGUUAAUGAGCCAAUUGCUUUUGGGGUUUUGUUUCGGUCCUAAAAAUUUUUAAAUAUGUUAGCUGGAAAUUCUUCACCAGUGACUUGGGGGUGAUGACUUUGCAAUGGCAUUUCAAGAGUAUUGGUCAUGCUGUGUGGGGAAAGGUCUCUAUGCCCUUGUGAAAUGCAGCUUUGAGCGUAAACAUGGGCGGGUAAAAAUACUUGUAUGUUGCUCUGUAUGAUGAGAACCUGUACUGUUGCAUCAUGUAUGUGAUUACUAAUCAUUUCCUUCCCCUUCACAGCACAAAUAAAGGUUUGAGCUCUAAUUAUAA